This 83-nucleotide ribosomal RNA is filed under the name Succinivibrio dextrinosolvens. The record is from RNAcentral. Lineage: Bacteria; Pseudomonadati; Pseudomonadota; Gammaproteobacteria; Aeromonadales; Succinivibrionaceae.
CCCAUUCCGAACACAGAAGUGAAAUGCAGUAACGCCGAUGGUAGUGCAACGUACGUUUGUGUGAGAGUAGGUCACCGCCAGGC